GGCCAGGUAGCUCAGUCGGUAGAGCAGUGGACUGAAAAUCCACGAGUCGGCGGUUCAACUCCGUCUCUGGCCA
This 73-nucleotide transfer RNA is filed under the name Deltaproteobacteria bacterium. Its description in RNAcentral is "tRNA-Phe". It matches the Rfam family "tRNA". From Rfam's summary of the family: Transfer RNA (tRNA) molecules are approximately 80 nucleotides in length. Their secondary structure includes four short double-helical elements and three loops (D, anti-codon, and T loops). RNAcentral also lists the same sequence under 1 other name. The record is from RNAcentral. Lineage: Bacteria; Pseudomonadati; Myxococcota; Myxococcia.